Molecule: long non-coding RNA, 3250 nt
Organism: Gallus gallus (chicken)
Lineage: Eukaryota; Metazoa; Chordata; Aves; Galliformes; Phasianidae
Source: Ensembl
GAUUUAUCCUAGGGCCCAGGAGAGCCACGCUGAGCACAAUCCCUCCUGGAUUAACAUGUGUUUGAAGAGUCUGCAUGCAGACAACUGAUGCUGAAAAUCCUGAUGACAGCCUGAGCGUGUUUGUUGGGAAGUGUCACCUCAGCGGCACAGGGACAUCCCUCAGCCUACAGAGGGGUGAGAGAGACAGAGAUCCAAGUUCCCUGUGAGAGCAAUGAUGUUUCAUCAAAAGGUAACAUCUGGCAGUUUGUUUGGUGUGAGACGGCUAAAUAUCAGCUUGCAGAGUUGCUUAAGAUGUAGGGCUGUGCUGUGUAGACUUUAUUCAGCUGUUACUCAGGGCUUGGGCACCUGGGCCUCCUGACUGGUCAGCUGAAUGAGCCGAUGCAGGUAAAACUGCAGCAGAGCUGUCUACAUGCCUACAGGUGGCUGUUCUCUAUAGGCAAGGGCUGCUGGUCCACAUCACCCCUUUGGGAGACCUGAGAAGGAGAACACACUCCGCCCUCCUUGUACAUAGCUCUUUGAUUCUGGGAUCAAGACUUUGGAAUUUCUAAGAUGUCUUUUGGUUUAUUUAUAGUUCAGGGAAAGUGGCAAUACAAGGAGUGCUGGUACAUUCCACUCAAUGUGGGAAUAAGGGUGGUCAUACAAAGAGCACAGCAGUCAGCUUGUGUGGGUGGGCUGGCGAGCAGCAUACCCAUGAGGGUCUGAAAAGCACAUGUGCGCACUGUUCCUGGCUACAUCUUGAAGUGCUCACUCUAUUAUUUGCUCAAAUGGGCUGUUAACAUCAGAGAGGCUGUCUAUAUCAAGCAGAAGCAUACUCAGAAUGAGAGCAGCAGCAUUAGAUGCCUUGUGGUGGGGAAGGGAAUACUAGAGUUUUACGAAAGAAUAUGCUUUAAAAAGCAAUCUGAAGGCCAAAGGGAUAUGAGGGGUGGGCAGGAAGCAGCCCUCUUGCCCUGUAGCUAGAAUGGGUUCUGACCCAAGAGCAUUGCGGAUACAAGGAGGCUGAAAGACACGGCUGCUUCUUAGUUCAGAGUUUUGGGCAGCUCAUUUGUUUGCUUGUUUGUUGGCUCUGUAGCUGUACUGGCUUGUUUCCUUGUUCAUUGUUGACUCACCAAUUUUGUUUAAUUCCUUGUCAUUUCCAAAGAGACCAAUUAAGGCCAUUUCCUUCAGCUUCAUCAUUAGAGACAGGGUUCUGUUGUGUGCUCUGGUGACACAACAAACCUGGUGCAACCGUCCCAGCCUUUGGGGAGACCCACGAGGAAACUGGAACCUGUGUUUCUCUUAUCUUGAGUAGUUCUUCGCAGACUUCUGCACAAAGGUGGCUUUGAGUUACUGGGAGCAGGGGGAAAGCGGUGUCCCACAUGAGGACGUUCAGUAACACAUACAACUUGGGUCUUAAUUUAAGGUUUAACCAAAAGAAAGGUGUCAAAAUAUUGAUCUUUCCAGGCUGCGUGCAGCAUGCACGAGAGCUGGCUGCAGAAGUGUUACUUCAGUCUGUAUCAGGACAGCUGAUGCUGAUACAAGAUACUAAUAUAAAUAUUAUUCAAAGGUUCAUUUUUCUCCGUUAGCAUGGCUGCAAGUGGUCUGGAAUUCUUUACUUUCCUAUUUCAUCCCUAAAUAUUACUUUAAAAACACACAUUAAGUGGAUUGCCUUUAUGGCUAUGCAUACAUAUAUUUGGUGUGGUCAGUGAUGUUUAUGGAAGAAAGAUAAAACCUGGGUCAAAGUCAUGCCAAAGUACAAGUCUACUUUCUUUAUACAUUGUAACAGGAAAGCAAGGAUGAAAGGAUGUAGCUACUGUCCCGUAGUACCUGUUGAUGGAUGCAGUCUCCUGCUGGAAGAUUUUCUAGCAUCUUAUUUUUGUGAGGGGAUGAAAAGUAUUACAUUUUUACCAGAUCGAAUGAGAGGUAGAUGGAAAUUUUCCUUUUUUUGUGUUCUGGGUACAAACAUUAUGUAUCUGGAGACUGCUAUCGAAGAGCAGAAAUGAUGCUUAGUCCUUGCUUUGUUUUUUAACUAAUUAAACCAGUUAUUUUCUCUUGUCCUGUGCCCAGGAGCAAGUGUACCUUCCCCACACACUGUGUACGAGCACCCUGUGGUCAGCAAAUGCCAGUCCAGCUGUUCCCAUUGGAUGCAAUCACUGGCAGAACUGGGUUUGGAGGAACCAAAGAGCCUGUGCUUUCCUUUCCAUCCAUGAAACAAGCUUUUGGCUUCAAAACUUAAAUAAGAAGCUCACUGAUAGAUUUCCAUGUUGUAUAAAUUAAUGCAAGAAGAAAGGGAAAGUAUGCACAGCAACAGAGGGGUUUAUAGCCCUGAAGGAGCAAUGAAAGGAGAUGGACGUUUCUGCCCGCUGCAUUUAUUGGGAAAGGAGAGGUAAUUACACCGUGGUUGUGUUGCUGCCAAGUUAUAAUGUGGAUAGGAUGGUGUCUUUCAAGGAGACUAUCAAAUGGUUCAGUAGCAUGGAUAACCAACUGUGGUUUUUUCUGCAUGAUGACACCAGGCCAUAAUAACUGGUUGGGAAUAACGAUGCUAUAUUUUUCCAUUAAAUAAAGUUUUAUUUGUAGGACAUUGACUGAUUUUUAAAGUAACGUAGACUUUCCUUACCACUAAAGCCCACAUAUUUAACACACAGCCAAACUGUUCUCUCUGAAACCACAUUAUGCAUGUUGUAACAAUACUCUCCCACAGACGAUGAACACUGAGGACAUAUUUUUCCAUGUGAAUCAUCCAUUCACUUAAAAAAUACAUUCCCUUAUUAAAAAAUGCAGCCAUGUGACAAGUUUUGCAGUGCUGUGUUCCACUUCUCUUUUUCAUUAGACUAUUAAAAAUUUAUUGCUGUUUCAAAUCAUUUUCUGAUGACUGCAUAAUUUUUCCUCCUUAUUCCCCUCGUUUCCUUUCCAAGAUAAUAUCAAGCAGUUUCCACCUUCGCUUUGCUGCGAGUGCACCUAAGUAAAAUAAAUGACCAAGAACUGAUCCUGCAGUGAGAUGAAUGCAAAUAGAUCUGCAUUGCUUCCUUCAAACCAGCGGUCACACAUUGACCCAUAAAGCUGCCGGUUGGCAUUUCUCUGCCAAGUAAGGCCACAAAAGAGACAUGAAGUUGUCAUUACAAUCCCUGUCUCUGAUCACUGAGAAAUACGGAGUCCCUGCAAUUUUGUAUGUUUUCCUCUAAAACUAGAAGGUUAAGAGGGAGCAUGAAAAGCAUAUGUUGCUGCUGAAAGGCUGGUAGUCUGGGUUGGUAUCCAUUACCAGAUGCUGUUCUGC